RNAcentral lists this ribosomal RNA (324 nucleotides) under uncultured eukaryote. Its description in RNAcentral is "partial 18S ribosomal RNA". It matches the Rfam family "Eukaryotic small subunit ribosomal RNA", at positions 592 to 976 of the family's 1831-position model. The record is from RNAcentral.
CAGUAGCGUAUAUUAAUUUUGCUGCAGUUAAAGCGUCCGUAGUUGAGUUUCUAAGUUACGACCUGGUGUAAUGCAAGGUUCGUGGCUUGUGCUUUCUGGCACAUGUUACUUUGAGUAAAUUGGCAUGCUCCAAACAGACUUACGUCUGAACAUCUCAGCAUAGAAUAACAAAAUAGGACUGUGUUCUUUUUGUUUGGCUAUUGAUUACAGUAAUGAUUGAUAAGGGUGUUCGGGGGCAUUUGUACUCGCUGGAGAGAGGUGAAAUUCUAAGACCCAGUGAAGACACACGAAUGCGAAAGCAUUUGCCCAGUGCAUACUUUUUAA